RNAcentral lists this ribosomal RNA (499 nucleotides) under uncultured Glomeromycotina. Its description in RNAcentral is "partial small subunit ribosomal RNA". It matches the Rfam family "Eukaryotic small subunit ribosomal RNA", at positions 591 to 1092 of the family's 1831-position model. Lineage: Eukaryota; Fungi; Glomeromycota. The record is from RNAcentral.
CCAAUAGCGUAUAUUAUCAAUGUUGCGGUUAAAAAGCUCGUAGUUGAAUUUCGGGACCAAUAUGUCGGUCGUGCCUUGGUACGUACUGGCGUCAUUGGUUUCUCCCUUCUGAGGAUCCUUGAUGUCAUUAAUUUGGUGUCUUGGGAAAUCAGGACUGUUACCUUGAAAAAAUUAGAGUGUUUAAAGCAGGCAUACGCUUGAAUACCUUAGCAUGGAAUAAUGAAAUAGGACGUUCGAUUCUAUUUUGUUGGUUUCUAGGAUCGACGUAAUGAUUAAUAGGGAUAGUUGGGGGCAUUAGUAUUCAAUUGUCAGAGGCGAAAUUCUUGGAUUUAUUGAAGACUAACUACUGCGAAAGCAUUUGCCAAGGAUGUUUUCAUUAAUCAAGAACGAAAGUUAGGGGAUCGAAGACGAUCAGAUACCGUCGUAGUCUUAACCAUAAACUAUGCCGACUAGGGAUCGGAUGAUGUUAAUUUUUUAAUGACUCAUUCGGCGCCUUACG